GGCGCAACACCAAUAAUAAGCUAUGGACAAAAUUUCUGAAAGGCCAUCUUGUAUAUUUCGUCCAUCUUAUUGUAUGUCAUCAUGGUGGCUUCAAAGUCCGGAAAUCUCCACUUGAACCUCUGUUCUUGUUCUCUUCGCACGCACCUUCAUCUCCGUGCUUGACCAUGCUCCAAUGUUCAACCUUCUUGUCUGUGCUAGGCCCUUCAAUAGCAAGCAACACAAAUGUAUCUAAGUUAGGCAGCAUCAUAUUCUCAUGAACACUAGAAACAUUAUCAAGAAACGAAAGUACCUGAUAAUUUAAUUGGUGUAUCUGAGCUCUAGCAACUAUUCCAAGAUGUAAAACAGUAGGGGAUAUGGGUGUAACUGUGGUAGCCAUGUCCUCAUCAUUGGCCAUGAAGGACAUCAUAGUCCGGCUAUGGCCAGCUAGACCUAUUCCGAGCAGCUACUUCGGCUUGGUCAAGCGGCUUGGCGACGCCUUACCCCGAGUAGAGGCCGUGAAGUGCUCGGCGUGUAUAGAAGGUGUGCGGAUGGCCUUUGCCCGUGUCAAGAUGCACUAGGCCAAAAUGAAGGCCGCCAUCGUAGCCAUCGACAGUCCGUCUGGGGGCAAGGACUACCGUAUGUCGGAGCAUUACUUUGAGGACAUCUUGGAAGGUGUCCGUUGAUAGAGGGCCAGUGCUCAAAGGACAUCAUGUUCGAGUGAAUGUGUCCGAACUGCCCAGAUAUUAUAUAAACCAAAGCUUUGUAAUAUAAACCAAGGCCUUGUAAUAUAUUGUAUGCAUUUAUCGUAAAGUGUUAUUCCCCCUGUGCGGUCGUUUUUAAUUCUUGAGAAUUUACAAGUUGUCGGCUUCAGCCCCCACGUAGAUACUACGGGGGUGUUCGAAAUAGCGCGUGACCACACUUGACCCAACUUCUUGGUCCGUAAAGGAGAUGGCAGUGCGGCGAACCAGGCAAUCGAACUAUACAGUUUUAUCAUUCUCACUUAGCCAUAGGAGUUUGACAAUGGGACUGUAGGGUAGCCCCUAGUGCGUAUGCGGCUAUCGAACUUGGAUGCCUUUUAAACGCUUGACUAGAAAAAGGCAGUCUUUCGUGUAAUAAAGAAGAAAUCGCUAGAGAUUUAGUAAGUCACCGAAUUGCUGACCAGCUCUCGCCGCAUCACGACAGUCAGUUUUGAGCUUUCUCUACUAAGGUGUUUGACUUGGCCAGCUGGAAACACAAUUGCAGUAGUUCUCCCUUUACUACCUUAGCCAAAAAACGGAACGUAAGGUAGCAAGCACAGGAGCCGGGCAACCCAACUAUUGACCAAAGACGUGAUUCAGAGCCGAUGCAUAUAAUGCAGUAUUCAGGACGCCGUAGUAUACCCUGAGAAUGUUCAGACUUUCUAUUGUUGAGAAUAUAUAUAUGGUUUAAAAUAGAGCCCCUGGCGAUUUAAGUCGUACCAUGGUGUAUAUGCCAAUUCGGACAUAAAGUGGGAAAAUGGAUUAAGAAAUAAGCCAAUAUCGAACAAGGUUGGGCGAAACUGUUUCCAUUAUAGUCUGAUUGGUACGUCAAAACGUAUUUUUUACAGAGGAUGACAUAAGAAUCAAGGCCAUUUUACAUACCGAGAACAAGGGAAAGUUGUAUACAUUUCCUAAAUUUGAAAGGAUGAUCUUGAAGAUCUUUUGGACACACUACCGCACAUCUGUGCCGCUUUUCCCUGUAGUAUAUGAUCCUUUGAGAGGAUCAAUGGUCGAGUGUAUAUGAGGGGCCUGGGAAAGGACCCUAAGUACCAUCGAAGAAUGGUGUGGGUUGUAAAGAACCUAAAAAGGAAAAACAAGGAAAAAGGGAAGAAUAAAAAGAUGUCCGGCCCGAUGGCCCGGAUGUCCGGCCCGACAAUUCCAGAUCUCGUUUGGGGCGGAAAUUUUUGCAUUGGGGGCGGAAAUUGAUGAUUCCAAGGUCAAAAUUGGAGAGAUUUCGUGGAUGAAAGGUGGGGAAACUUGGGGAUAUGCUAGAUCCACCUGAAACCAAGCAAAUCCAUGGAUUAAAUUCAACAAAACUUCGUCGAACCAACAAAUCACGAAAAAAUUUGGGGCUAUUUUUGGUGGAGAAUUUUUUGAAUUUAGGACGAAAUCAAACAAAAGAAGGCUAGAAAACAAGGGGAGGCUUCGAAAUCCUGAUCUACGUGGCUCAUGAUACCAAGAUGACGUAGGGUGGAACCAUAUACAGCCGAUCUUUCACGAAAGGAGUGGAUCCCGCGAAGAACAUAAAGAAAACAAGGGGGAAAACGAGGCAAAUCACGCAGGGAAACAUGAGAGAAUCACUAAAACCAACAAGAAAUAGUCACACAUAUGCUAGAUCCUCGAAACACAAAGAGAGAUACAAGAUCCACGAUCAACAAGGGACGAUACCAAGGUAGCCGGUUCUUCUCCGUGAGAAGGUCUUGUAUCCAUGAGGGGAUCUUCUCCGCGAGGAGGUCUUGAAUCCAAGUGGAUCUUCUCUGAAGAGGGGCCACGGUCUCUCUCGUGGAGUAGAUCCGGAUGGAUGAGCGAAGCUCUAUCUCACAAAUG
This 2543-nucleotide long non-coding RNA is filed under the name Triticum aestivum (bread wheat). Its description in RNAcentral is "long non-coding RNA (TAES_LNC020636)". The record is from RNAcentral. Lineage: Eukaryota; Viridiplantae; Streptophyta; Magnoliopsida; Poales; Poaceae.